Molecule: ribosomal RNA, 467 nt
Filed under: uncultured bacterium
Lineage: Bacteria
Description: partial 16S ribosomal RNA
Rfam family: Bacterial small subunit ribosomal RNA
Source: RNAcentral
GACGAACGCUGGCGGCGUGCUUAACACAUGCAAGUCGAACGGAAAGGCCCUGCUUUUGUGGGGUGCUCGAGUGGCGAACGGGUGAGUAACACGUGAGUAACCUGCCCUUGACUUUGGGAUAACUUCAGGAAACUGGGGCUAAUACCGGAUAGGAGCUCCUGCUGCAUGGUGGGGGUUGGAAAGUUUCGGCGGUUGGGGAUGGACUCGCGGCUUAUCAGCUUGUUGGUGGGGUAGUGGCUUACCAAGGCUUUGACGGGUAGCCGGCCUGAGAGGGUGACCGGCCACAUUGGGACUGAGGUACGGCCCAGACUCAUACGGGAGGCAGCAGUGGGGAAUAUUGCACAAUGGGCGGAAGCCGGAUGCAGCAACGCCGCGUGCGGGAUGACGGCCUUCGGGUUGUAAACCGCUUUCGCCUGUGACGAAGCGUGAGUGACGGUAAUGGGGAAAGAAGCACCGGCUAACUACGU